GGCGCAGUUUUAUACGACCGCAGAGGUUGAAUCCUGAACGGUUGGGGCAAGUAUGGACACAACAUUCAAGCUGGAUUCAGCUCUAAAUUUGGAUUGUGAUUAAAUAGUUGACACAGCAGCAUAGGUUUCUAACACAAAAUGAAUGUUGUCUAAUGAACUUAAAAUUUUUGUUUUGCCUUUGAGCAAUUCACUAUGCUGUUGAAUAUUAAUCCUCUCAAAAAAAUGUUUGAAAAAUUUUCUUUUUAUUUAUGAAAUUUCAAAUAAG
Molecule: long non-coding RNA, 265 nt
Filed under: Mytilus galloprovincialis (Mediterranean mussel)
Lineage: Eukaryota; Metazoa; Mollusca; Bivalvia; Mytilida; Mytilidae
Source: RNAcentral